UGGUCGAGCACAUGAAUUCGAUUUCAUUAUCGUUGUUACAUUCUAUAUAGGUUGACAACAUUUUUAGGCUAAAAUUUCAGUUAGUAAACUAAUAAAACAAAUUUUAGAAUUAUGACUAUUUCGAAGUGGAAAAACUAAAAGGAAAACGUCUGUCUACAAAUGCCAAAAGAUCGCCAGGAUAACCCGCAAUGGAUACCAUAACUUUUUACGUGAGCUUACGGAAAAUAAUUGCGGCCUUUUACCUCAAGAGACUGUCCGUAAAGGAGCAAAGGCAACGGAAUCGACUAACUUGUGCAAAACAACAGAAAUACGAAUUAAUGGAAUUCAACCGAAAUUCAAAGACAUCAAGAAGAAAAUGUUUUCCUUUUGUUGACAGGAAGACAAGACAACAAACGCCAGAAAACACGCCAUAAAAGACCCAAAAAUAGACGCCAGAAAAGACAUUUUAGAUAGCUAUUGCGGGAUAUCCUGGCGACCUUUUGGCAUUUGUGGACAGACGUUUUCCUUUUAGUUUUCGCACUUCAAAGUAUCCAUAAUUCUUAAAUUUGUUCUAUUAGUUUUUCAACCGAAAUUUGGGCUUAAAGAUGUUGUCAGCCUACGUAGAAUGUUACAACGAGAAUGAAAGGGGGAGCUUACAAUACGGAUCGUUAUUCCCAUUUGGAGGAUGUGCAAAGGACUACGAUGGAUACAGAUGCUUGGUUUAUUCCCAGUGCUAGCCCCAGUGAGACUUCUUUGUCGGCAGAAGCAAUUGUCAAUUUCCGAAGACGAUGAUUGGAAACUUGGCUAUUCAAAUUGUAAAGAAUGCAUGUGUUUUAAAUAUAGUUCAACUAUUUCUAGUA
This is a long non-coding RNA of Drosophila willistoni, 839 nucleotides long. RefSeq lists it as uncharacterized. The record is from RefSeq and is a predicted model, not a curated record. Lineage: Eukaryota; Metazoa; Arthropoda; Insecta; Diptera; Drosophilidae. The transcript is spliced from 3 exons.